Molecule: unclassified non-coding RNA, 413 nt
Filed under: soil metagenome
Description: partial contains 5.8S ribosomal RNA, internal transcribed spacer 2, and large subunit ribosomal RNA
Rfam family: 5.8S ribosomal RNA (bases 1-120)
Source: RNAcentral
GAUGAAGAACGCAGUGAAAUGCGAUAAGUAAUGUGAAUUGCAGAAUUCAGUGAAUCAUCGAAUCUUUGAACGCACCUUGCGCUCUUUGGUAUUCCGAAGAGCAUGCCUGUUUGAGUGUCAUGAAAAUAUCAACCUUGACUUGGGUUUUGUGCUCUAGUCUCGGCUUGGAAUUGGGUGCUUGCCGCUUUUACGAGCGGCUCACCUUAAAUGUAUUAGCUGGAUCUGUCUUUGAGACUUGGUUUGACUUGGCGUAAUAAGUAUUUCGCUAAGGAUAUUCUUCGGAGUGGCCUCGUUUCUAGGACGCUUGUCCGCUUUCCAAUACAAGUUCCACCUCGUGGACAUGACUUUUUAUUAUCUGGCCUCAAAUCAGGUAGGACUACCCGCUGAACUUAAGCAUAUCAAUAAGCGGAGGA